GACGUAGGGGGCGAGCGUUGUCCGGAUUCACUGGGCGUAAAGCGCGCGUAGGCGGCUCGUUAAGUCGGAUGUGAAAACCCGGGGCUCAACCCCGGGCCUGCACCCGAUACUGGCGGGCUGGAGGCAGGUAGGGGAGAUCGGAAUUCCCGGUGUAGCGGUGAAAUGCGCAGAUAUCGGGAGGAACACCGGUGGCGAAGGCGGAUCUCUGGGCCUGUCCUGACGCUCAGGCGCGAAAGCUAGGGGAGCAAACAGG
RNAcentral lists this ribosomal RNA (253 nucleotides) under uncultured bacterium. RNAcentral describes it as "partial 16S ribosomal RNA". It matches the Rfam family "Bacterial small subunit ribosomal RNA", at positions 524 to 776 of the family's 1533-position model. The record is from RNAcentral.